GGACCCGUAGUGUAAUGGAUUAUCAUAUGGGUUUCCGGAGCCCAUGAUCCGGGUUCGAAUCCCGGCGGGUCUG
RNAcentral lists this transfer RNA (73 nucleotides) under Thermoplasmatales archaeon E-plasma. It matches the Rfam family "tRNA". From Rfam's summary of the family: Transfer RNA (tRNA) molecules are approximately 80 nucleotides in length. Lineage: Archaea; Methanobacteriati; Thermoplasmatota; Thermoplasmata; Thermoplasmatales. RNAcentral also lists the same sequence under 2 other names. The record is from Rfam by way of RNAcentral.